Molecule: small nucleolar RNA, 107 nt
Filed under: Nelumbo nucifera (sacred lotus)
Lineage: Eukaryota; Viridiplantae; Streptophyta; Magnoliopsida; Proteales; Nelumbonaceae
Description: Plant small nucleolar RNA R71
Rfam family: Plant small nucleolar RNA R71
About the family: R71 is a member of the C/D box family of snoRNAs containing the C (UGAUGA) and D (CUGA) box motifs. Multiple nearly identical copies of this snoRNA have been identified in Arabidopsis, and it is thought to function as a 2'-O-ribose methylation guide for 18S ribosomal RNA.
Source: Rfam by way of RNAcentral
AUCCCAUUGUGAGGACACCUGCUAAGCAUCUCUUUAAAUCUUUCCCAUGCUUCAUACAGGGACUCCCUCUCAAAUUGAGCAAAAGUAGUAAUAUCAUUAAUUAAUUU